CAGAGUUAAAAAAACUCCCAAACCCACUGUGAAUCUACCUGUACUUGUUCCUUCGGCAGGCGGCCCCCGGGGGGCUACGCCGCAAGGCGCCUGCCGAGGGAGAACUAAACUCUUGCUACUUAGUGUUCUCUGAGCAACUAUAAAAAAGUCA
This 151-nucleotide unclassified non-coding RNA is filed under the name uncultured Xylariales. RNAcentral describes it as "sequence contains ITS1". Lineage: Eukaryota; Fungi; Ascomycota; Sordariomycetes; Xylariales. The record is from RNAcentral.